This 727-nucleotide ribosomal RNA is filed under the name Mucoraceae sp. LM258. RNAcentral describes it as "bacterial SSU rRNA". The stretch from base 1 to 362 matches the Rfam family "Eukaryotic small subunit ribosomal RNA", at positions 1472 to 1831 of the family's 1831-position model. The record is from RNAcentral. Lineage: Eukaryota; Fungi; Mucoromycota; Mucoromycetes; Mucorales; Mucoraceae.
CCUUGAGUUCUGGGCCGCACGCGCGCUACACUGAUGAAGUCAGCGAGUUUAUAACCUUGGCCGGAAGGUCUGGGUAAACUUUUGAAACUUCAUCGUGCUGGGGAUAGAGCAUUGUAAUUAUUGCUCUUCAACGAGGAAUUCCUAGUAAGCGCAAGUCAUCAGCUUGCGUUGAUUACGUCCCUGCCCUUUGUACACACCGCCCGUCGCUACUACCGAUUGAAUGGUUAUAGUGAGCAUAUGGGAUCAGUAGGAUUAAACUGGCAACAGUUUUUCCCUGCAGAGAACUAUGGCAAACUAGGCUAUUUAGAGGAAGUAAAAGUCGUAACAAGGUUUCCGUAGGUGAACCUGCGGAAGGAUCAUUAAAUAAUUUGAGUAUGCUUAUGCAUAUUUCUAAUUUACUGUGAACUGUUUUACUGUUUAGCGUUUUGAGGGAUUGCCUAAAGAUUAUAGGGAUAGGUCUUUAGGAUGUUAACCUAGCUAAAGUCAGGCUUAGGCCUGGUAUCCUAAUUCAUUAUUUACCAAAAGAAUUCAGAAUUAAUAUUGUAACAUAAGCGUAAAAAACUUAUAAAACAACUUUUAACAACGGAUCUCUUGGUUCUCGCAUCGAUGAAAAACGUACCAAAGUGCGAUAACUAAGUGGGGAAUUGCAUAUUCAGUGGAAUCAUCGAGUCUUUUGAACGCCAUCUUGGGCCCCAAUGGGUAUUCCCUUUGAGCACGCCUGGUUUCA